RNAcentral lists this ribosomal RNA (230 nucleotides) under uncultured bacterium. Its description in RNAcentral is "partial 16S ribosomal RNA". It matches the Rfam family "Bacterial small subunit ribosomal RNA", at positions 568 to 791 of the family's 1533-position model. The record is from RNAcentral.
UGCGCAGGCGGUUAUAUUAAGACAGAGGUGAAAUACCCCCGGGCCUCAACCUGGGAACGUGCCUUUGUGACUGUAUAGCUUGAGUGCGGCAGAGGGGGAGUGGAAUUCCGCGUGUAGCAGUGAAAUGCGUAGAUAUGCGGAGGAACACCGAUGGCGAAGGCAAUCCCCUGGGCCUGCACUGACGCUCAUGCACGAAAGCGUGGGGAGCAAACAGGAUUAGAUACCCGAGU